Oncorhynchus keta (chum salmon) is the source of this 774-nucleotide long non-coding RNA. RefSeq lists it as uncharacterized. NCBI's taxonomy places the organism in Eukaryota, Metazoa, Chordata, Actinopteri, Salmoniformes, Salmonidae. The record is from RefSeq and is a predicted model, not a curated record. The transcript has 3 exons.
UUGCCAGAUCAUUUUAGUUCCAAUUUUCCUCUCUCAGAGUUGCAAUAAGUCUGUAUGCUAAUUUUAGCAUCCCUUUGGAUGGAGCUACCUGAUGGAGAAGCUGUGUUUUUUAUGAUGUAGUUAAAGAGGCCAUUACAGCAGUCUGUCAGGUCGUGAAAUGAGUCAUUACAGCAGCCUGUCAGGUAGUUAAAUGAGUCAUUACAGCAGCCUGUGGGGUAGUUAAAUGAGUCAUUACAGCAGCCUGUCAGGUAGUUAAAUGAGUCAUUACGGCAGCCUGUCAGGUAGUGAAAUGAGUCAUUACAGCAGCCUGUCAGGUAGUUAAAUGAGUCAUUACGGCAGCCUGUCAGGUAGUGAAAUGAGUCAUUACAGCAGCCUGUCAGGUAGUUAAAUGAGUCAUUACGGCAGCCUGUCAGGUAGUGAAAUGAGUCAUUACAGCAGCCUGUCAGGUAGUUAAAUGAGUCAUUACGGCAGCCUGUCAGGUAGUGAAAUGAGUCAUUACAGCAGCCUGUCAGGUAGUGAAAUGAGUCAUUACGGCAGCCUGUCAGGUAGUGAAAUGAGUCAUUACAGCAGCCUGUCAGGUAGUGAAAUGAGUCAUUACGGCAGCCUGUCAGGUAGUUAAAUGAGUCAUUACAGCAGCCUGUCAGGUAGUUAAAUGAGUCAUUACGGCAGCCUGUCAGGUAGUUAAAUGAGUCAUUACGGCAGCCUGGCAGGUAGUGAAAUGAGUCAUUACAGCAGCCUGUCAGGUAGUUAAAUGAGUCAUUACGGCAGCCUGUC